This 865-nucleotide long non-coding RNA is filed under the name Mus musculus (house mouse). Its description in RNAcentral is "RIKEN cDNA 4930502A04 gene (4930502A04Rik)". Lineage: Eukaryota; Metazoa; Chordata; Mammalia; Rodentia; Muridae. The record is from RNAcentral.
GACCACUGUGGCUACCUUAGAAACUGCCGACCACAGGUGUCUGUGUCUGAAACCACCAUGAAGUGCAGGGUUAGGACAGACUUGGUGUCAUGAGUGAAGACAGAAGAAUUAUCUAUGCACUGAUGCUUGUGGAGAAGGUAGUUACAGAGGCGAGGACGCUGAAGCAAAAGCCAAGAGAUGUAGCUUCUGGUCCUGCUGAAAGCAACCAACCAACAGGGAAGCCUGGAGCAUAUUCAUCCCCAUUGCUCAGCCCUUUUCUUGACCAGUCAAGUUUUGGAAUCAGAAGUUAACACCAAUCCAGGUUCCAGUCCAUAUCAACAGCAGAGUAUCUAGUUCUAGAAUGUAUUUGGUUUGCCUGAUAUUGGACAUUUCUGUCAAUUCUGAGUCCCAGGGAUCUGUGGAACUGUGGCCAAGAGGAGUCAAAGCCAUGGACAAUACAUCUUUCUGAUUGGCAGAACGGAACAAAGAAUCUUCACUAUAAAACACACAUCAAGGAAGCCCCUCGUAGUGAGUGUCUGCUCUUCCACCAGGAGGAAGCUGGUUGUCGGGGGCUGAAAUGACUCUACAGUGCCAAUCCAACCUGCCACUGGAUGCUGUAGUCAGAAAUGGUGUGGGAUGAGAGAGGAGGGCAAGUCCCGAGUCUCCGGUGGAAAAUCUGCUUCUGGAUACCUGGUGCUGGGAAGAAAACACUGUCUGAGAUACAGUGCCUCCUCUGUGUAUGGCGCUGGAAGGUUUUCCUGGCCAGUCCUCACUUUGUGCAUUAAAGAAAGAACACUAUAGACACCAGUACUUAGUGUUGGAUGGAAAGACAUACCAGGCCUUCAUCAUGAGCAAUAAGAAUAAAGUUCACUUUGUGUUUAGAAGG